Eptesicus fuscus (big brown bat) is the source of this 1421-nucleotide long non-coding RNA. RefSeq lists it as uncharacterized. NCBI's taxonomy places the organism in Eukaryota, Metazoa, Chordata, Mammalia, Chiroptera, Vespertilionidae. The record is from RefSeq and is a predicted model, not a curated record. The transcript has 7 exons.
UGAAGGAUUUGAGAAAGAGAACAUUUCUAAAAAGCAUUAUAUAUAUUUAUUAACUCAUACCAUUUUUAACUUAAGGCAAUUUGAGGUAGUUUUUCAUCUUUCCCAAGAAAAACAGUAAAAAUUGCUAAUCGUUUGACAUUGGUUGCCUCAAGACAGACCCGAGCAUGAAGCAGAAGAGCUAAUGCUUCCCUGAGAAGCACUGCCCCCUUCGUUGUUCAGAAGCUGGCGAUACUGUUCAGUGGUACUAAAAACUGCCAUCUACUGUCUCUUGGGAUUGUAUCAUGACCCUACGAACGCUGAAGCUUUAGGAAAUUUCCAGGGGAAGGCCAGAGUGUUAAGAGUAUGUUGUUUACUUCCUGCUAUUACAAAAAUGUCCUGGGAGACACAUAAACUUUGAUCCAAGCUAAAAGCAAAGAAAGACUAGCACAGCAUCUUGUCAAGAGCAGCUCACGCUUCUUCCUACAUCCUAGGAUCCAGGAUGCUAAAUUAUUGAUGGGAAACAAGCUGGAGAGCCAGAGAAAGAGUGACGCUUAGUUCCUGAACCUUCCUCCAAAAAUCCUGAGACACACCAUCGGUCCAAAAAAGGGCAGUGAGAUCUUCAUCACUUUUGUGACCCAUAAGGAAACUGACACGAAGGCUUUCGGGGAUUCAGACUUACAAGCUCCACUUUAGGAAAGUGACUCACUGUGUCCCCAGAGCUGCAGUUAAAAAUCAGGAAUGGAAAGGAUGCCGUUUCUCAUCUUGACGAAGGAGGGAAAGAGAGAAGACACCGAUGGCUACCUUAAUAUUUUUUCACCAAUACAACAACUUGAUUUUAACAAGUUUUCACUGAAAAUUAAGUUUAAAAGUGGCCAGUAAAACCAUCUUCCUUAACCACAAAACUGAGGCCUACAUGUACCGGAGAGAUCAGUUGGAUGGCAUUUACAUCACACUCUGCUUUAUAUCUCAAGGAGAAAGACCAUAAUAUGGCUCACUGUAAUACAGGUGAAAAACUAACUUGGACCAGGAGCAGAGACUAGGAUUUGUCAUCAGCCCUGCCCCCACCUUGACCUUCACUCUGAAGCAAGCUUCAUGAUCUGCUUUUCCCAGCUGUAUCAGGGCCUCUGUAAUCUGAACCAGACAGCACAUACAAGCUCCUCACCUCCGUUCCAGGCACCAGCCCUUGACCCCCCAGGCUAGGCUGACUGACUUCCCGGAUGCACAGCCCUCGCUGCUGGGCUGCUGCUUCUGCUGGUCCUGCCCGGCAUGGUCAUCCCUCUGCCCUGAGCCUAAUCACUUCCUACCAUACCCAAGAGUGCUCAGCUCAGGCAUCCAUUCACGCAACAGCUAUGCAGUUUCUUCUUGGUUCCUCGGGGGCCUCAAUUGGCUGAUCAGCCAGGAAAACUCGAGCUUGGUCUAUUGCAUUCAGGACAGAAUAUUCC